This 7682-nucleotide long non-coding RNA is filed under the name Physcomitrium patens. RNAcentral describes it as "long non-coding RNA (PPAT_LNC000374)". The record is from RNAcentral. Lineage: Eukaryota; Viridiplantae; Streptophyta; Bryopsida; Funariales; Funariaceae.
GCUUUUGCAAGGUUACCAGUUCGGUUUUUCAUUGGAGGUUUUUGAAGAUCAAGGGAAUUAGAGAGAGGAGCUUCAUGCUUUGGGUCGGGGAAGGAAAGACAUAGAAUUUGGAUUUUUCUUCUUCGUAGAGUUUUAGGAAGACUGAGGCAAUCGCUGCUGAAGUCAGUGUUGUAAUGGUGAAUCGGGAUUUUUAAAUGAAGUGGGUUUGAAUACUCUUGACUGUUUUGUAAAAUCGAGUUACGUCUGUGAUUGAAGGAUUAAAAGGGUGUCUAUAGGAUUGAGUAUGCGGAGAGAAUGAAGUUUAUUGGGUUAAUCUAACAAGACAGUCAAUGGAAACAAGAUCGUAAGUACAAAGGGGUAUUGAAGAUUAACAGUUUGGGUUGUUCGGGGUUCUCUGUAACGUCUACAGACCUACCGGCUGGGGCAAAAAAAAAAAAAAAAGACUUCGACAAGCAGUCGAAGAGCACCCGUAUAGAUUUACGGUACAUUGUUGCAGUCGUUUAUAUUUCGGCAGUCAAAAACUGAUAGACUGCUUGACUAUCGGUGAAUCUCCAUACUACCUUCUACAGCCAGACGCCCGGCGCGUUCUCGAGCAGGAAAGCACGUAAUACGACAUAAGUGGUGAACCCGACGUGAAAGCUUGAGGUAGAAGGUAUUGGAUUUCGGUUGAUUUUAUCUUUGUUUUUAUGGAAAACGAAAAUAAAAAUUUUGAAGGAUUUUUGGGAGAAGUUUCUGGUGGGGAGUCUUCUAAAGGACAAGGUAUGCACAUGGAUCCGUCUAUUGCUAGUUUGUUUCAAGCCUUCUCAUUGUCAAUGCAGCAACAGCAAAGCAAUGAUCGAAAGGAAGCUUUGGCAACCAAAGCAUUGCAAGCAGUGGUCAAUAAAAUUGAUCAAUUUGAUGGGAGGAAUAUUUCAAGGUAUUUAAGAUGUUAUGUUCGUGAAAUGGAAUUAAAUCGGGUUUCUGAGAAGAAAAUGGUUGCACUAUUUGGACUUGCCACGAUACCAGAGAUAAGGAACCACAUUACAUCGAUUACGGAUCGUUGUGGGAAUUCAUGGGAGGAUUUUUCACAUGCAUUGAAAGACGAAUAUUUCUUAAAAGAUGCUGAUCACGUUACUAAGAAGCUGUUUCUGGGAUGGAUUGAACGGCCCAAUAAGAAUUUGCAAGCAACAGAGCUACUAAGGAAAUUUGAGAGGCAGUACUCUCAAUUAUCGAAGGUAGAAAAAUUGACAUUGGAGCCGAACAAAGUUGAUCUAUUUCUUCAAGCUGCUGAUGGAGAAUUGCAAGAGAAAUUAGAACCCCUUCUUGAAGACAAAGAAGAAGAUGAAGGAUUGACAACAAAGUGGAAGAACGUUGAAGAUGCGGUGGGGUUGCUUACAAAAAAAGAAAGGAGGAAGGAUAGGAGCAAUAUUCCGAAAACAGUACAAGCACCCAAAGCUCGAGUACGUACAACACCACCGACAAUGCCUACAGUUCAACCUUCGACAUCCUUGUCACGGAAAGCAGAUAUGAAUAUAGAAGAAAUUAUACAAGGAAUACGAGAUCUUCAAAUCAAAUUGGCAAGACUUGAAGAGAAUACUUCUAUAAAUAAUUCGAAGAAUGUUUCAAAACAAGGAUAUGUACAAAGAUGCAUUUGGUGUGAUGAUGCUUCACAUACUAGAAAAGAUUGCAAUGAAUUUAAUAAUAUGAUACGGCAGGGAAUUAUUUGCUGGAAAGAUGGGAAGAUAGCAUUGAAAGAUAGGGAGGAUCUUCUUCAAACCAAUUUUGGCAAGGGAGGAAUGAGAGCAUUGGUUCAAGAUUACUUAAAAGAGCAUGAAACAGUAGUACGAGAAAGUGCAAGUUAUGGUGCUAGAGUAGAUGAUGCAAUUGGUGGAAGUACGGAAACUAGUGAGUUUUGGGCUUCUGCCGUCUCUACAAUGCAAGAAGGAAAAUGACCUCGAGAAGCGUUAUUGAGAACUGCAGCUACAAUACAAGGAAGAACAGGUUGGGAGGAUCCUGUUGAGUCUCUUUCAGUUCAUGCAUAUAUUGCUAAGAGCCAACAUGAAGCUUUGAUGGAAGAAAAAAGACGAGGAAAUUUUGAUGAUACUAGAGAAGGAAAUUCUUUUAAGAGGCAAAUUCGAGGAGACAAGGCUCGGGAGGCAGCUUCACAAGAAUUGCCUGUAAAGGAUACCUCAGCAUCAUUGGGAGAAAAAACAACGGAGACAAAAGAUAAGAGCAAAUCAAUUGCUUAUAAGCUACUUUCUGACAUUGAAGCGGCAACAAAUUUGAAAGGGGUGUUGGAAGAACGUAUAUUAAACGCUAAGGUGGAAUUCACAUUGAAAGAAGUCUUGGGAAUUGCAAAGAAGGAGUUUCAUUAUGUUAUCAUUGACAGCAUUAAGCGAAAGAGGCAAUUAAUGAGCGAAACUGGAAUGAGUCAUGCUAUUGAUGCAAGAAUAUGUAGAGAUGAAGAAGAGGUUGAUAUUGGUUACAAGCAACCAACAAAUGAAAAGAAUGGGUAUAAUCAGGGAGUAUGUUUCGAAGAUUCUAGUGACAAGGAAAUGGGAACUUUGAGCUAUUAUACUCGAAAGCAUUGGGCAAGGGCAACUACUGAGGUAUUGGUGAAGGUAGGAGAUAUAAAAGAACCAAUAGUUGCUUUGGUGGACCAUGGUUCUGAAAUAAAUCUCAUGUCUAAAGAUCUUUAUAAGAAGCAAAAAUGGCCAAUUGAUAUGGAACAUGGAUGGGCAAUACGAGCAGCUAAUAACACACGGGGCAAAUUAUAUGGAGCUUGUCCAGAUGUCAAAAUUCGGAUUGGGGAUGUUGCGACGGAGCAACAUUUCUUCGUUUAAGAUACAACGUCUUAUCCGUUGAUUUUAGGACAACCUUAUAUCAUGGCAACACGGAUGGAAACAAAGGUACUUGACGAUGGUUCUGCUUAUGCAAGGAUACGGAGUGAAGAUGGGAAGAAAGCUGUACAAUUUCUAACAAUACCUCCUAACCAUGAACGGAAUCAAGAUAGGUUGAGGGAGAAACCAUUGCCAAAGAUUGUUGAAGGAUUUAAGGAUUUUGGGGAGGUACCACUGUAAAGCGAGAUUAUGGAGGUACAAAAGAGGAGGUACUCUCGCGAGAUGAAGGUACCUUUGAUGCGAGUUUUAUUGGUAUAUUGGAGAAUGGAAAUAUUAUGUAUAAGAAAGUUGAUGAUUUUAAAAGAAAAGAAAGAAAAAGAUUAUAUGAUAUUGAAGGACAGUUACGCAAGAUAGAUACAUUGCAAGAUGAUGAGAGGAUUUUGGGUGUUUAUGAAGAAAAUGGACUGGAAGAUUCAUUGGAAUUGAUUACAUCUAUUGGGUUAGGGGAUAAUGAUAAGAUUGUUGAGAUUCAUUCGAGAGAGGUUUAUACCAUGCUUGAAUCUUUUCAAGCACCAGAAGUCACAGUACAGACGAGAUAUAAAACGGCAGAUAAGAAGGUAAAGCCUGUUGCCGGACCAUUACCAGAGGAUUCUAAAGAACAAAUGGGAGAAGCAUCAAAAGAAGCAAGUUUAAGAGAUCCAAUGAGUAUUGGACAUCAGUUUACUGAAGAGACUCUUGAAGAAUUGAAGAUUGGUUCUGAUGGUUCUUUAUUGCCAGAGGAAAUUACUUGCUUCAAAAAGAUGUUGGCUAAACAAGGUAGAUCGUUUGCCUUCGAAUCUCAUGAAAUUGGGUGUGUGGAUCCAAAUAUUAUAACACCUAUGGUUAUCUUCACUGUAUUGCAUGUACCUUGGAAUCUAAGACCGAUUCCAGUACCGAGGACACAUUUACCUAAAUUGGUGGAACUAUUGAAAGAAAAGAUAAAGAUGAAAAUAUUAGAACCUUCAUUUGCGCCGUAUUCUAGUCGAUGGUUUACGGUACCUAAGAAGAAUGGGUCACUACGAUUUAUUCAAGAUAUGCAGCCGGUGAAUGCUAUAACUGUCAGGAAUGCAGGAAUUGGACCUAUUGUGGAUGAAUUUGUUGAGGCGUUUGCUGGAAGGGCGAUCUAUUCAAUGGGUGAUUUGUAUUCAGGUUAUGAUCAAUUUCAACUUGCCGAAAGAAGUAGAGAUAUGACAACGAUGAGAACACCGCUUGGAUUGGUUAGAAUGUGCACUCUUCCUCAAGGCGCGACCAACUCAGUUGCGCAUAUGAUGAAUGGGAUGAAUAAGGUAUUGAGAGAUUUUAUUCCGGAAAAGACUAUGCCUUUUCUGGAUGAUGUUCCUAUAAAAGGGUGCAGAGAAGGAGACAAGGAUGAAACUUUAGAUACGAGGGGGUGUCGCAGAUAUGUUGUUGAUCAUAUACAAGAUUGUGAAAAGAUUUUAACUCGGCUUGGAGAAGUUCAUCUUACAUUAUCGGGUAUGAAGUCCAUAUUUGGAGUGCGAAAGGUUGUAAUUGUUGGACAUUUAUGCGGAUCUUACGGAAGAAAACCAGAUCCGACUAAAGUUGAUGCAAUUGGAAGGAUGAAAGAGGAUUGUGAUUCUUUAACAGAGAUUCGCAGGUUUUUAGGUUCAUGUGUAUUUUAUCGCAUCUGGAUCCCUCAUUAUGCUCACAUAGCGGAUCCAUUAUAUGAACUGUUAUGCAAGGGCUACUGAUUUAAAUGGGAAGAAAGGCAUAUUCAGAAAAUACAAAGAUUGAAGAAAUUAUUGAUGUCAUCUCCAAUAUUGAGGAAGGUUGAUUAUAAGUGCAAUAAACUAGUGAUUCUUACUGUGGACACUAGUCCAAUUGCCAUUGGAUGGAUUGUGGAUCAAGAUGAUUCAAGUGGAAAUAGAUUUGCAGUUCGAUUUGGAGCUAAGAUUUCGAUUUUGAAGUAUUCGUCAGCGUGCAUAUUCGCAAGUCAAAAGAAAACUUUGGAGAGUUGUUUUGGCUAUGAAAGCUGAAAAGGAUUAUUUGAUUGGGGCAGUAGUAGUAAUUCAAACAGAUUGCUUGCCAUUGCUUGGAAUGAUUAUUAACUGUUCGACACCAGAUAUUGCAAUGUUGAGAUGGAUUGCUUAUAUUAAGUCACUAAAUCCAGAAUUUAAGCAUAUCAUUGGAAAGGACAAUUUAGUAGCAGACAUGCUAUCUCGAGCAAGAUACGAGAGGGAGGACGAAAUGGUUGAAGACAUUGAUGAUGUCGGAUUGAAAUUCUAUUCAAUAUCAAAUCUCAACAGAGAAGGCAAGCUAUUUCUUGAAGAAUCUUAUGAAGGAGAAUUAUUGGAUAUUGGUCAUUAUUUGAAUACCUUGUCUAAGCAUGGGAAUUGGUCUACAGAAAAAUUCAAACAAAUAAGAAAAAAAGCAUAUGGAUUUUUACUUCGAGAUGGAUUCUUAUGGAAGAGACCGAAGAAAGGAAUUGGGAUGCCACAACGAGUGAUAGGCAAAAGGGAAGAAAAACUAAAAUUAUUAAAGGAGUUUCAUGAUAGUUUAUGGGCAGGGCAUAGAGGAAUCUGGGCUACUUUUGCUAAACUCAAGGAACGAUAUUGGUAGAAAAAUAUGUAUCGAGAUGUGCUCUCAUUUGUAGAGUCAUGUGAAAUUUAUCAAUCGUAUUCUAAUAUCCGACAUCGAGAUGGUCUUCAUCCUACGUAUCCUCUGGCUAUUCAUUUUAAAUGGGUUGUUGAUUUGGUUAUUAUGCCAGUUGGGUUAUGGCAGAUGAGAUAUUUGGUUUUAGCUCGUGAAGAUUUAUCAAAUCAAGUAGAAGGAAGAGCAUUGAGGACAAAAUCUACAGAGGGAAUUUGUAGGUUUUUGCUUGAAGAUGUCAUUUGCCGUUACGGGUGCGUAGGAAAAAUCACUGCAGAUCGUGGAGAAUUAAAUGCACAAGAAGCUCGUAAGUUCUUUGAAAAAUGUGGAGUUAAACUAUCACUGACUACUGCUUAUAAUCCGGAAGAGAAUGCGAAAAUCGAACGCGGUCACCCGUUGAUUGUGAAAGCAUUGGUUAAAGCUUGUAAUGGGAAAGUUAAAGAGUGGCCACGGCUUUUGUCAUUUGCAUUAUGGGCUGAUCGAACAACACAUAAUUCGGUCACAGGAUAUAUGCCAGUAGAACUUAUGACAAGUCAAAAACCAAUUAUGCUGAUUGAAGAAAAGGUACUUACUUGGAGUAUGCUACCAUGGGAAGAUGGAUUGACAAGAGAAGAACUUCUGGCUAUUAGGAUUCGACAAUUGGAGCAAAGAACGGAAGAUGUCCAGAUAGCAUUGAAAAGGUUAAAAAGAGCAAGGUUACAAAACAAGGCGCGAUUCGAUAAGCAACAUCAAUUGAGACCAAAAGCAAUCGAGGAAGGUGACUGGGUACUUGUUUAUGACAAUAGUCUGGAUAAUCAACAUAGUACUUUGCGGAAAUUUUCAAAACGUUGGUUUGGACCCUAUGUUGUAACAACUGUUCAUGAUAAUGCGACUUACUCAUUACGGGAGUUAGAUGGUACAAAAUUGAAAAUACCAAUUGCAGGGAAGCGAGUAAAAAUAUUUAAACGAAGACAUGCGGAGAUGAAUAUGGAAGACCUUAAUGAAGGUACAGAGAUUCCGCAGCAAGAAGAUGAAAGUGAUUUGGAUAAUGAAGGUGACGAAGACGAACUGGACAAAGACGUAGGGGAUAUAUUCUGAAUCAAACAGCAAUUGGGUAAAUUGAUGCAUACCGGAGGAUGCACAGGUUCAGAGGGGGUGGAUGUCGUGUUGUAAUACAAGUAUACAGUGAAAAUAAAAAGAAAGGGGAAUUUUAUUAAUAUUCAGUUACCUCGAAUAUUGGGAGCAUCGACCAACUCUAGUACAAAUACUGAGUGGUCAGGUUCAGUCACUCCGUUACAGUCAGCCGGGGCAUACUGAAAUGCUCCGUUCGAUUCCAAUAACGAGAGUCAGCAGGAAGAGAAGGACCAAUUCACACGAUGGGUUCGAGGAGCCAAUUGGAUCCAAUUUCGAUAAUCCAAUCCGGGUCUUCUUAUCCAAUAUGAGACCUGAAUUGGCCGGUCAACCCAAUGCAGUCUAAUUACGGGAAAUCCAGGUCUUACUACGGGUCUUAGCCAAUCUGACGCGAGGACCAAUUUGACCCAAUUACGGGAACAUCCAGGUUACUACGGGCAUCUUUCCCAAUAUAGGACCUGAAUUAGUCGGGCGACUCAAUGUGGUCCCGAUUACGGGGGUUCGAUUCUGUUUCAGGUUGUCCUGUUCUCUGUGCCGUUUCAGGGAACAUUGUUUUCGAUAAAUGGAUUUCUUAAAGGUAAAAACAGAGGAGAAAGCUCUGACGGCGAGAGCCAAUUUUGGAUCCAAGCUUGACAGCGAGAGCCAAUUUCAGAUCCAAGCUUGAGGUGGGAGCCAAUUCCGGAUCUAAGACGGAAGAUUGAAGAAAUUCAGAGGAUAAGGUUAGGGGGGGGGGGGUUUUUUUUUGGGGAAUCGGGGGGAGAGAGAGUUUUCAAGCUUUUGCAAGGUUACCAGUUCGGUUUUUCAUUGGAGGUUUUUGAAGAUCAAGGGAAUUAGAGAGAGGAGCUUCAUGCUUUGGGUCGGGGAAGGAAAGACAUAGAAUUUGGAUUUUUCUUCUUCGUAGAGUUUUGGGAAGACUGAGGCAAUCGUUGCUGAAGUCAGUGUUGUAAUGGUGAAUCGGGAUUUUUAAAUGAAGUGGGUUUGAAUACUCUUGACUGUUUUGUAAAAUCGAGUUACGUCUGUGAUUGAAGGAUUAAAAGGGUGUCUAUAGGAUUGAGUAUGCAGAGUGAAUGAAAUUUAUUGGGUUAAUCUAACAGGACAGUCAGUGGA